AGACCCGAAACCCGGUGAUCUAGCCAUGGGCAGGUUGAAGGUUGGGUAACACUAACUGGAGGACCGAACCGACUAAUGUUGAAAAAUUAGCGGAUGACCUGUGGCUGGGGGUGAAAGGCCAAUCAAACCGGGAGAUAGCUGGUUCUCCCCGAAAGCUAUUUAGGUAGCGCCUCGUGAAUUCAUCUCCGGGGGUAGAGCACUGUUUCGGCUAGGGGGCCAUCCCGGCUUACCAACCCGAUGCAAACUGCGAAUACCGGAGAAUGUUAUCACGGGAGACACACGGCGGGUGCUAACGUCCGUCGUGAAGAGGGAAACAACCCAGACCGCCAGCUAAGGUCCCAAAGUCAUGGUUAAGUGGGAAACGAUGUGGGAAGGCCCAGACAGCCAGGAUGUUGGCUUAGAAGCAGCCAUCAUUUAAAGAAAGCGUAAUAGCUCACUGGUCGAGUCGGCCUGCGCGGAAGAUGUAACGGGGCUAAACCAUGCACCGAAGCUGCGGCAGCGAACGUAUCACCCAAGACAACUUUACGGAGUUGACGAUUGACGGAGCGAAGCGACGUCAAAGCGUAUACAAAGUCGAGUUGGCUUAGGGAUACGUUCGUUGGGUAGGGGAGCGUUCUGUAAGCCGUUGAAGGUGGCCUGUGAGGGUUGCUGGAGGUAUCAGAAGUGCGAAUGCUGACAUAAGUAACGAUAAAGCGGGUGAAAAGCCCGCUCGCCGGAAGACCAAGGGUUCCUGUCCAACGUUAAUCGGGGCAGGGUGAGUCGACCCCUAAGGCGAGGCCGAAAGGCGUAGUCGAUGGGAAACGGGUUAAUAUUCCCGUACUUGGUGUUACUGCGAAGGGGGG
This 842-nucleotide ribosomal RNA is filed under the name Salmonella enterica subsp. enterica serovar Plymouth. RNAcentral describes it as "partial 23S ribosomal RNA". It matches the Rfam family "Bacterial large subunit ribosomal RNA", at positions 711 to 1471 of the family's 2925-position model. Lineage: Bacteria; Pseudomonadati; Pseudomonadota; Gammaproteobacteria; Enterobacterales; Enterobacteriaceae. The record is from RNAcentral.